RNAcentral lists this ribosomal RNA (414 nucleotides) under uncultured microorganism. Its description in RNAcentral is "bacterial SSU rRNA". It matches the Rfam family "Archaeal small subunit ribosomal RNA", at positions 330 to 745 of the family's 1478-position model. The record is from RNAcentral.
GUGCAGCAGGCGCGAAUCCUCCGCAAUGCGGGAAACCGUGACGGGGUCACCCCGAGUGCCACCCGAUGAGGGUGGCUUUUCCCCGGUCUAAAAAGCCGGGGGCAAUAAGCGGGGGGCAAGUCUGGUGUCAGCCGCCGCGGUAAUACCAGCCCCGCGAGUGGUCGGGACGUUUAUUGGGCCUAAAGCGUCCGUAGCCGGCUCGGUAAGUCCCUCCUUAAAUCCACGGGCUCAACCCGUGGGCUGGGAGGGAUACUGCCGGGCUAGGGGGCGGGAGAGGCCGAGGGUACUCCCGGGGUAGGGGCGAAAUCCGUUAAUCCCGGGAGGACCACCAGUGGCGAAGGCGCUCGGCUGGAACGCGCCCGACGGUGAGGGACGAAAGCUGGGGGAGCAAAGGGGAUUAGAUACCCCCGUAGU